UUGGCCAAUAUCCAGAAAUCCCAUAUCGAACAGUUACCCUUGUUAGGCUUAACGUAGUAAACCACUUUCAGAACACAAAACAAUCAAUAAAUCGUAUUUGUAACGCGAUAUAUAUUUUUAUUUAAAUUACAUAUACCGGAAAAUAUAGAACGGUACACGAAAUGAUGCGUGUUGGUUGCCUAUAUAUCUACGUGUGUAAAUAUUUGAAUGCAAACACGUAGUCGCUCGCAUAAAAGGACAUUAAUAUAACGU
Molecule: non-coding RNA, 252 nt
Organism: Cinara cedri
Lineage: Eukaryota; Metazoa; Arthropoda; Insecta; Hemiptera; Aphididae
Source: the annotation of a GenBank genome assembly